GACGAACGCUGGCGGCGUGCUUAACACAUGCAAGUCGAACGGAAAGGCCCUGCUCUUGUGGGGUGCUCGAGUGGCGAACGGGUGAGUAACACGUGAGUAACCUGCCCUUGACUUUGGGAUAACUUCAGGAAACUGGGGCUAAUACCGGAUAGGAGCUCCUGCUGCAUGGUGGGGGUUGGAAAGUUUCGGUGGUUGGGGAUGGACUCGCGGCUUAUCAGUUGGUUGGGGGGGUAGUGGCUUACCAAGGCUUUGACGGGUAGCCGGCCUGAGAGGGUGACCGGCCACAUUGCGACUGAGAUACGCACCAGAAUCCUACGGGAGGCAGCAGUGGGGAAUAUUGCACAACGGGCGGAAGCCUGAUGCAGCAACGCCGCGUGCGGGAUGACGGCCUUCGGGUUGUAAACCGCUUUCGCCGGUGACGAAGCGUGAGUGACGGUAACGGGUAAAGAAGCACCGGCUAACUACGUG
This 468-nucleotide ribosomal RNA is filed under the name uncultured bacterium. RNAcentral's name for it is "partial 16S ribosomal RNA". It matches the Rfam family "Bacterial small subunit ribosomal RNA", at positions 28 to 507 of the family's 1533-position model. The record is from RNAcentral.